Molecule: transfer RNA, 81 nt
Filed under: Candidatus Mediterraneibacter vanvlietii
Lineage: Bacteria; Bacillati; Bacillota; Clostridia; Lachnospirales; Lachnospiraceae
Description: tRNA-Leu
Rfam family: tRNA
About the family: Transfer RNA (tRNA) molecules are approximately 80 nucleotides in length. Their secondary structure includes four short double-helical elements and three loops (D, anti-codon, and T loops).
Source: RNAcentral
GCGCGAGUGGUGGAAUGGCAGACACAUCCGGCUUAGGACCGGAUACCAUAGUGUGUGAGAGUUCGAGUCUCUCCUCGCGUA